Molecule: ribosomal RNA, 1445 nt
Filed under: uncultured Armatimonadota bacterium
Lineage: Bacteria; Bacillati; Armatimonadota
Description: bacterial SSU rRNA
Rfam family: Bacterial small subunit ribosomal RNA
Source: RNAcentral
GACGAACGCUUGCGGCGUGCCUAAGAAAUGCAAGUCGAACGGACAAUCCAGCAAUGGGUUGUUAGUGGCGAACGGUCGCGUAACACGUAAGCAACCUGCCCGGAAGUAGGGGACAACAGCCCGAAAGGGCUGCUAAUACCGCAUGUGGUCAAGUCUCGGCAUCGUGACUUGUCUAAAGCCUUGUGCGCUUCCGGAUGGGCUUGCGGCCUAUCAGCUAGUUGGUGGGGUAACGGCCUACCAAGGCGUCGACGGGUAGCUGGUCUGAGAGGACGAUCAGCCGGAUUGGGACUGAGAUACGGCCCAGACUCCUACGGGGGGCAGCAAUUAGGAAUCUUGCGCAAUGGGGGCAACCCUGACGCAGCGACGCCGCGUGGAGGACGAAGGCAUUCGUGUCGUAAACUCCUUUUGACAGGGAAGAAGGAUGUGACGGUACCUGUCGAAUAAGCCCCGGCUAACUACGUGCCAACAGCCGCGGUAAUACGUAGGGGGUGAGCGUUGUCCGAAGUUACUGGGCGUAAAGCGCGCGUAGGCGGCCAUUUAAGUCUGGGGUGAAAGGUUCAGCGCUCAACGCGAACAGUGCCUUGGAUACUGGGUGGCUUGAGUUCGGGAGGGGGUAGUGGAAUUCCUGGUGUAGCGGUGAAAUGCGUAGAUAUCAGGAGGAACACCGGUGGCGAAGGCGGCUACCUGGCCCAGAACUGACGCUGAGGUGCGAAAGCGUGGGGAGCGAACGGGAUUAGAUACCCCGGUAGUCCACGCCGUAAACGAUGAGUGCUAGGUGUUCGGGGUAUCGACCCCCCGGGUGCCGUCGCUAACGCAUUAAGCACUCCGCCUGGGGAGUACGGCCGCAAGGUUGAAACUCAAAGGAAUUGACGGGGGCCCGCACAAGCGGUGGAGCAUGUGGAUUAAUUCGUCACUAACCGAAGAACCUUACCCAGGCUUGACAUCGCGUGUAAGGCUGUGAAAGCAGUCCCCCCCCGCAAGGGGGCACAAAGACAGGUGUUGCAUGGCUGUCGUCAGCUCGUGUCGUGAGAUGUUGGGUUAAGUCCCGCAACGAGCGCAACCCUCACCGUAUGUUGGCAGCGUAAAGUCGGCAACUCUUACGGAACUGCCCGUGCAAGCGGGAGGAAGGUGGGGACGACGUCAAGUCGGCAUGGCCCUUACGCCUGGGGCUUCACACAUGCUACAAUGGGCGGAGCAGAGCGCACCGAUACCGCGAGGUGGAGGCAAUCGCACAAACCCGCCCUCAGUUCGGAUUGCAGGCUGCAACUCGCCUGCAUGAAGCUGGAAUCGCUAGUAACCGCAGGUCAGCUAAACUGCGGUGAAUACGUUCCCGGGCCUUGUACACACCGCCCGUCAAGUCACCUGAAUUGUCUGCACCCGAAGCCGAUGGCCUAACCCCAGCAAUGGGGAAGGAAUCGUCUAAGGCGUGGGGAGUAAGGGGGACU